Molecule: long non-coding RNA, 1084 nt
Filed under: Homo sapiens (human)
Lineage: Eukaryota; Metazoa; Chordata; Mammalia; Primates; Hominidae
Description: HSALNT0396226
Source: RNAcentral
AGUGUCGCCGGGUCCCUGCCCCGGGAGGAGCCGAGUGGCGCCUGCACCUCUACCGUUCGCUCUGCAUACGCGUGGCUUAUCCUGGAGCACUGGCGCCUUCGCGGGGAGCGCAGCGGCAGCGCCCGGGACACGAGCUCCCUCCAGCACUCACCCUGGGGACGCGUCCGCUGGAAAAGCACCCACAACAGAGGCAGCAGCGCCAGCUUGGGCAGCGGCCACAGCCAGAAAGGGGCGCCCCUGCCUCCCCGCAUGGCGUCCCUCGGGAGCCCCGAGUCCGGCCCAGCCUUGCCGGGUCCGCGCGGCCGCGCUGCUCCUCUUCGAGCUCUGGGUACAGCGCCCGAGGCGGCAACGGGAAGCCGAACCACCCCGGCAGGCCGCCUCCGCACCUUUCGCUCAGGGUCCCCGCCCCUUCCCCGCGACGGAAAGUCCCCGGCUGGGGCUGCUUGAGGGGGAGUGGGGAGGCGGCCUGGGCGUCUGGGGGUGGGGGCCUCCGAGGGGUGGUACCGCGUACCGCGCAUCCCCGAAACCUGUCCUACGCCCAACAACCAUACACACACACACACACUCUCUGCCAAAGUCUUCGAAUUUUUAUUAUUGGAGUUUGGGAAGAUUCGAAUGUGCCCAGAGCUCUCCUAGGGGGGCCACCUGCCACCUUCUCUGGGGUCCACAGCCUUGGAACUCUGGCAGGGGAGUUGGAGGGAGAGGGGAUGGAAAGCAGGGCAAAGGAAGCGUGCGUGCAAAGGCUGGACUGAGACAGAGGCUUGAUUUUAGCUGGUCAGGGGACAAUGGCCACAGUUUGGACUGGGAAGGGGGCAGGGGUCUCUGUGUGGCCAGCCUAGGUAGAGUAGGGACCCAGUUGUGGCAGUGGAGUGUGUAGAUGAAUGAAUGAAUGUGUGAGGCUCGAAAGACAGGUGCCCAGCCAGACACUAGUUGAGUGGAUGGCAGGACUGGGGCAUUGGUCCUGGUGCCCACGGCUGCCCAGCCCUCAAACUAGCAAAGGCUACUGAUUUCACUUUUGCUACACCCCCACUUGCAGCAGCUGCUGGAAAGGCCAGCCAGGACAUCUCGGCUGCCCCGAAGAACC